GCUCGACGCUGACCCUCCAAGCCGCCCACCGGGGACCGGGGCCGACUCCCCGCGGACGGUCGUGGUCAGCGUCAGGCUGCCCCUGAGCGGACGGAACAAAACCUCUAUGAGAUAAAUAGGGUGCCCUCCGCCCUCCUAAUGUGACCAGUCCCCUGGUCAGCCCUGGCGCCUGGACGUGCACAGACAGGGCCUCACCGAGUUUGCUUAGAGCCUCAUUUUUGCCGAAGACGGCUUUGAAUUCGCGAUCCUCCUUCCUCAGCCUCCCAGGUGGCUGGGAUCAUGCCUCCUCACCAUGCCUCGCAAGCCAUGAAUACUUUCUACAGUGCCCGGCACGCACUCCUAAGCAUCUUCCGCUUGGCCGCACCAUCCCACUCAGGAGAGAGCACCAUGUGGACCUCAGGAGCACCCUAACCACCUAUCCAUCCAGAAAAGAGCUCAUAGCUGCCUCUUGUGUGUGGUUCUUUGCUGUGUGAGGUAUUGAAAGCAGAGCACCAUCUCUCUGGGAAUUUCCAGUCUAAAAUAAGUUGCAGAAACAGACAGUGAGAUUGGCGGCAUGGCAAAUUGUACUCAUCCGUGUUUACAUGAAGGAUAAACAAGGGGGGGGAGGGGGGAGGGGCACAGUCCCUCCUGAAGCCACAUGUCGAGAGCCCCUGGCCUUCAAGGCUGAGCCACAACCAGAGGGAAGCCACCCUGACUUAGUCCAGGAACUUGCAAAAAUCUUAAACAAUGGCUUCUGGAGAUUAAGCAAUCUUUAAAUGCUUCCAUUUACAGGGUGACAGCACAGGGAGGUUGUCACCUGGGCUAAUCAACUUGUGAGUUGAGGAGAUAAGACUCUCCCAGAUAACAAGGGGCCAGAGAGUCUGCCCCCGGAGCAUUCUUGUGUCCCAAAGCUACUUGGAGGGCUCACCAUCUGGGGCAGAUACUACUACCACUGACGAGGGCUCUGAAUGCACACCUUGAGGACCCCGAUGGAUGAGGAGACAUCUUCUUCUGACACCACCCCCCACCCCACCUCCAGCAACCAGGAGGCCCAUCCACAGAGUCCUGCCCAUUCUCCUGCCCCCACCCACCACCUUCUCGUUAUUCCAGCUACGCCUUCCCAAACAGGAGGUACCCGGGUGAGAAGGAGAGGUUGAUGGGACGGAUGACAGAUACUUUGAGUUCCCAAACGGAAAAGGAAACCCAUUCAUUGAAGCAGAUUUGACGUCAGGAGUGAUAGGCUACUGCCCCAAGAGCAGGCUGCUCUCCCAGGCAGGAGGCUCAGGAGGUCCUGAACCCAGGGACCCUGCCUCGCUGUCUGUGAUUCACUCCCUGGACAGAAAGUCAUGUCAAGACCAGAGGAAGGCACCCCCGAACACUUGUUGUGAGCAGGGUAUCUCCCCAACACAGGGCUGCUAGCAAUUCCAGAGGAAGGAAGAUCAAGUGCCAGGGAACUCACCAGUGGGGGCAGCAUGCCACAGGAGGGGUAAGUUUUCGCUAACACCCAUCUGAGUGAGUUUGAUAGUAACUCUUCCCGCCAGGAUCAAGUUGUGGCACAACAGCUCUGAUGCGCCAUGAAAAUGUAGAAAAUGGCCUGUGUUUUCUCUUUCUCUUUAUUUCUUGUUCUACUGAGACCUCUCUAGCAUUGCUUGACCUUUCUGUGUUAUUAGACCAACUUGAUGAAUCCUUCUCUAAGCUUCUUUUUCAGCUGGGCACAAAUGCCCUCUUCUGUAAUCCCAGCAACUCUCAGGAGGCUGAGGCAGGAGGAUCACAGGUUCAAGGCCAGCAUCAGCAAAUUAACAAGGCCCUGAGUAAUUUAGCAAGACCCUAUCGCAAAAUACAACAUAAAAGGCUGGGGCUGCUGGGCACAGAAGUGCACGUUUAUAGUCCCAGCAGCUCAGGAGGCCGAGGCUAGGGAGGCACUUAGCAAUUCAGCGAGACUCUAUCCCUAAAUAAUAUAUAUAUAUAUAUAAAGGGUAGGGAUGUGGCUCAGUGCCCCUGGGUUCAAUCUCCAGUACCAAAAAAAAAAAAAAUGCCCACUAUUCCAAUGUGUAAUCAAGUGUAGGAAUCCCUGAUUUAUAGAACAAUGUUGCUUGUUAUUAGCACUUUUAAACUAAGAGACAUGUCUAUAUAUUUUUGUAGUACCAAGAUGAUGAGGGGGCAGGUGAGGUGAACAGGAGGGGCUUGGUAUUGGAGGUUGACCAGGUGUCUUUCUCUCCCCGCCCCCCAGUAUUGAGACUGAGCCCAAGACAUUGUGUCUGUGAGGCAAACACUCCACCACUGAGCUAUACCUCCAGCCCUUUUUUAUUCUGAUACAGGGUCUCACUAAGUUGCCUAGGCUGGCCUUGAUAGGUGCCUCUUUUUAAUAACCUAGUGUGCGAGUGCGUGUGCGUACAAACAUGCACAUGCACGCGCGCACACACACAGAGGGGCUGUAGCUCUGUGGUGAGCACGCGGCGCCUAGUACAUAUAAGGCACUGUCCCAUCUCCAGCACUGCCAAAAUAAUAAGGGGGAAGAAGAAGCAGAGCAGCCCCCAUCCCGCCCGCCUGCCUCCAGGAACAGAGCCCUCGAGGUCAAUGCAACCCAGGGCUCACCUGCUGUUGGGCACCACACAUGGGCUGAAGCCUGCCUGGGGCCACUGCCGCCUCUCCUCCAUCCCUCCCUUGGUCAGUGCUGGCCUGGCCUUCUUUCUUUAUUUAUUUAUUUAUAUUUUUGGU
Ictidomys tridecemlineatus (thirteen-lined ground squirrel) is the source of this 2697-nucleotide non-coding RNA. NCBI's taxonomy places the organism in Eukaryota, Metazoa, Chordata, Mammalia, Rodentia, Sciuridae. The record is from RefSeq and is a predicted model, not a curated record.